Epinephelus lanceolatus (giant grouper) is the source of this 682-nucleotide non-coding RNA. Lineage: Eukaryota; Metazoa; Chordata; Actinopteri; Perciformes; Serranidae. The record is from RefSeq and is a predicted model, not a curated record.
CCAACUUUCUACGUGGAGUGUGGAAUGAGCGUCCGCAUUGGGUAAAUGCAAGUUUACCAAGGGCUAACUAUUUGUAGUCAGAUGUUGAAUAUGGUCUGAAAAAUCUACCAAAAAGUCUGGAAAGAUUUUGAAAUUUGAGUCUGGAAUUUUGAUAUGGAAAACGUGUAGUAACUCUGCAAAGUCUAAGAAAACUGCAACCUUUAAACCCUUCAUUUGACUUUCGCACCCUCUCUGAACUUUUAGGCACGGCCGGAGGAGAGCAACCCAGAUACCAGCCGUAAUUCUGCUGAUAUUCAUCAUAGUUGCGGGCGUGUCUCCAAAUUUGUACGUUUACAUAGUGUCACAGUUUAUAGUUGGAGCUGCACUCGGAGGAUACAGAAUUAACUCCACUGUAUUGGCUACAGAGUGGAUUGGGAUCACCAAGAGGUCCUUUGCCUCCUGUAUGAGCCAGAUGUUUGCAGCUGUUGGACAGUGUGUCAUGGCUGGUCUGAUCUAUGUCAUCCGUGACUGGAGAGUGGCGCAGUAUGUCAUGGCAGGAGCACAGGCCUUUGUAUUGCUGUACAUAUGGUGGAUUCCUGAAUCUGCACGGUGGUUGCUUGGACGGGGCAGAACCGAAGAAGCGAAUAUGUUGAUACGUCGAGUUGCAGCAAUCAAUAAAAAGCAAAUCCCAGACAAUCUGCUG